Molecule: ribosomal RNA, 467 nt
Filed under: uncultured bacterium
Lineage: Bacteria
Description: partial 16S ribosomal RNA
Rfam family: Bacterial small subunit ribosomal RNA
Source: RNAcentral
GACGAACGCUGGCGGCGUGCUUAACACAUGCAAGUCGAACGAUGACGCCCGAGCUUGCUCGGUCUGAUUAGUGGCGAACGGGUGAGUAACACGUGAGCAACCUGCCCUUCACUCUGGGAUAACCUCGGGAAAUCGGGGCUAAUACCGGAUAUGAGCUCCUGUCGCAUGGCGGGUGUUGGAAAGUUUUUCGGUGAAGGAUGGGCUCGCGGCCUAUCAGUUUGUUGGUGAGGUAGUGGCUCACCAAGGCGAUGACGGGUAGCCGGCCUGAGAGGGCGACCGGCCACACUGGGACUGAGACACGGCCCAGACUCCUACGGGAGGCAGCAGUGGGGAAUAUUGCAUAAUGGGCGAAAGCCUGAUGCAGCGACGCCGCGUGAGGGAUGACGGCCUUCGGGUUGUAAACCUCUUUCAGCAGGGAAGAAGCGAAAGUGACGGUACCUGCAGAAGAAGCGCCGGCUAACUACGUG